This is a long non-coding RNA of Ictalurus punctatus (channel catfish), 569 nucleotides long. NCBI's taxonomy places the organism in Eukaryota, Metazoa, Chordata, Actinopteri, Siluriformes, Ictaluridae. The record is from Ensembl.
AGAGAACUGACCACAUCCUGUGCUCAAGCUCUACAAUGCCUCGCUUCAUCAUUAAAUUAAUGAUCUUGGUGACUUGGUUGUCUCAAGCUCAAGGUCGAGAAAUCCAUCCAGCAAGGAUUUAUGCAGUUAAAAACAGAGGCAAACUGGAGUUCACAUGCAGUACACAUGGGAUGAAGGAAACAUUCGAGAAGAACAGCAACUUAUAUAUUUACCUCUGUAGGAAUGGCACUGGCAUAGCCAUGAAAUCAGAUUGUCAAGAUGUUACAUUUACUAUAGACGACAUUACAAAGGAUGAUACAGGAGACUACAGUUGUGUCUUUUCAUCGUAUAAGUAUGAUCCUGAGGAUGUAAGAGGAAAUGGCAUCAAUUCCAUCUUCAUUACUGUGAACGAUUCGUUCAUCCCGGCGGAGAUAGCCUCGCCGGAGACGAGUGUAAAAAUGGGAAGUGAUGUUGAUCUCCAGUGUACUUCUUUAAAAUUACCCGAGAGGAACCAGAAAGGCAACGUUUAUGCCUAUCUGUACAAGAACGGUUACACAGUGCAGAACGGCAAUGUAAUUCAGAUGAAUAUU